This is a long non-coding RNA of Cyprinodon tularosa, 695 nucleotides long. RefSeq lists it as uncharacterized. The record is from RefSeq and is a predicted model, not a curated record. The transcript has 3 exons. NCBI's taxonomy places the organism in Eukaryota, Metazoa, Chordata, Actinopteri, Cyprinodontiformes, Cyprinodontidae.
CUGCUCCAGGAUCAUCUCCCUCUGCUCCAGCACCACCUCCCUCUGCUCCAUCAUCUCCCUCUGCUCCAGGAUCAUCUCCCUCUACUCCAGCACCACCUCCCUCUAUUCCAUCAUCUCCCUCUGAUCCAGCACCACCUGAUACGCAGAGAAAAUCCCUAGCAGAGAAAUAUGUCCAUGAAGCUUUUUCUGGAAAAAACGUCUUUGUCCUUCUGUCAAAAGUGAAUGCAUAUAAGUUGUUUUACUCUGACAUUUACAAAAUUGGUCCUGGCAUGGAACUGGUGAGUCAGAUCCUCUGUGACAUGUGCCUAAGGUGGUUCCAUCAGGCAUGUGUGGCUAGCCCACCAACUGAAAAAAACUUUUACUGCUUUGCAUGUUUGCCUUAGGUUCCUGAGUUUGCUGUGGUGUGCUGGUUUAAGCAUGUUGUUUAAUGCUUCAUAAAUGACAUUUUAAAAACUAUGUUUGAUAUUUAUUCUUCCAAGACUUUAUUUUAACAUAGUUAUUGAAAGAUUUAAAUUCCAAGGCCUCUUGCCUUUAUCAAAUGAAGAGCAGAUGUUUUUGAAUCAAAGUUAAGGACUUGCUGGUAAUUUUUUUCCCCAUGUUAUUGGGAGAAUGGAUUAUAUCAGGCAGCUCAAACAGCUGAAAUAAUCUGUCCCCCCCCCCCCCCUUUAAUUUUUGCAAAUAAAGAGUAAAUAUGA